UGAUGCCAUGGGGAUGAAUAUGGUGUCGAAGGGGGUGCAGAAUGUGUUGGACUAUCUUCAGAAUGAUUUUCCGGAUAUGGAUGUGGUCAGCAUCUCAGGGAAUUUCUGUUCGGACAAGAAGCCUGCUGCUGUAAACUGGAUAGAAGGGAGAGGCAAAUCAGUGGUAUGUGAGGCAGUCAUCAGGGCAGAUGUGGUGAAGAAGGUCCUCAAGACCACUGUGCCUGCUCUGGUAGAGCUCAACAUGAUCAAGAAUCUCGCUGGCUCAGCUGUCGCUGGUGCCUUGGGGGGAUUCAACGCUCAUGCCAGCAACAUCGUGUCUGCCGUCUUCAUUGCCACUGGCCAAGAUCCCGCCCAGAACGUCGAGAGCUCUCACUGCAUUACCAUG
This 385-nucleotide unclassified non-coding RNA is filed under the name Hevea brasiliensis (rubber tree). Lineage: Eukaryota; Viridiplantae; Streptophyta; Magnoliopsida; Malpighiales; Euphorbiaceae. The record is from RNAcentral.